UACGAGAGCCCCAAGCGUUAUCCGAAAUUACUGGGCGUAAAGGGUGCGUAGGCGGCUGUGUUAGUCUUGUGUCAAAGCUCCCGGCUUAACCGGGAAAAGGCACCAGAUACGGCACAGCUAGAGGAGGUAAGAGGUGUGUGGAACUCAUGGUGUAGGGGUGAAAUCCGUUGAUAUCAUGGGGAACACCUAAAGCGAAAGCAGCACACUGGUACCUUCCUGACGCUGAGUGCACGAAAGCGUGGGUAGCGAA
RNAcentral lists this ribosomal RNA (250 nucleotides) under uncultured bacterium. RNAcentral's name for it is "partial 16S ribosomal RNA". It matches the Rfam family "Bacterial small subunit ribosomal RNA", at positions 524 to 772 of the family's 1533-position model. The record is from RNAcentral.